AUGAUACCUGAAAUGAGCAAGGCUACCCGCUGAACUUAAGCAUAUCAGUAAGCGGAGGAAAAGAAAAUAACAAUGAUUACCUCAGUAGCGGCGAGUGAAGAGGUAAAAGCCCAAGAUGUAAAUCCGAGCAAAACUUGGAAUUGUAAUCUAUGGAAUAGUUCAGAAGCGGAAGCUCGGCAAAAGUUCUUUGGAACAAGACACCAGAGAGGGUGAAAGUCCCGUCAAUGGUUGAGCGGAAGCGUAUGAAAUAUUUCCAAGAGUCGGGUAGUUUGGGAAUGCUGCCCUAAGUGGGAGAUAAACUUCUCCUAAGGCUAAAUAUAAGAUAGGAGACCGAUAGC
This 338-nucleotide ribosomal RNA is filed under the name uncultured Peritrichia. RNAcentral describes it as "eukaryotic LSU rRNA". It matches the Rfam family "Eukaryotic large subunit ribosomal RNA", at positions 1 to 341 of the family's 3401-position model. Lineage: Eukaryota; Ciliophora; Oligohymenophorea. The record is from RNAcentral.